Molecule: ribosomal RNA, 253 nt
Filed under: uncultured bacterium
Lineage: Bacteria
Description: partial 16S ribosomal RNA
Rfam family: Bacterial small subunit ribosomal RNA
Source: RNAcentral
UACGGAGGGUGCAAGCGUUGUUCGGAAUCACUGGGCGUAAAGGGCGUGUAGGCGGUCUGCUAAGUCUGAUGUGAAAUCCCCUCGCUCAACGAGGGAACUGCGUCGGAUACUGGCAGACUCGAGUACCGGAGAGGAAGGUGGAAUUCCCGGUGUAGCGGUGAAAUGCGUAGAUAUCUGGAGGAACACCGGUGGCGAAGGCGGCAUUCUGGACUGUAACUGACACUGAGGAACGAAAGCCAGGGGAGCAAACGGG